UACAGAGGGGGCAAGCGUUGCUCGGAAUCACUGGGCGUAAAGCGACCGCAGGCGGCCUGACAAGUCGGAUGUGAAAGCCCUGGGCUCAACUCAGGAAUUGCAUUCGAAACUGGUAGGCUCGAGUACGGGAGAGGGGGGUGGAAUUCCUGGUGUAGGGGUGAAAUUCGUUGAUAUCAGGAGGAACACCGGUGGCGAAGGCGGCUCUCUGGUCCAUGACUGACGCUGAGGUGCGAAAGCGUGGGGAGCAAACAGG
RNAcentral lists this ribosomal RNA (253 nucleotides) under uncultured bacterium. Its description in RNAcentral is "partial 16S ribosomal RNA". It matches the Rfam family "Bacterial small subunit ribosomal RNA", at positions 524 to 776 of the family's 1533-position model. The record is from RNAcentral.